CCUACGGGAGGCAGCAGUGGGGGAUAUUGCACAAUGGGGGAAACCCUGAUGCAGCAACGCCGCGUGUGGGAAGAAGGUUUUCGGAUUGUAAACCACUGUUCUUGGUGAAGAUAAUGACGGUAACCAAGGAGAAAGCUCCGGCUAACUACGUGCCAGCAGCCGCGGUAAUACGUAGGGAGCAAGCGUUGUCCGGAUUUACUGGGUGUAAAGGGUGCGUAGGCGGUCUUGCAAGUCAGACGUGAAAACCACAGGCGCAACCUGUGGACUGCGUUUGAAACUGUGGGGCUUGAGUGAAGUAGAGGUAGGCGGAAUUCCCGGUGUAGCGGUGAAAUGCGUAGAGAUCGGGAGGAACACCGAUUGCGAAGGCAGCUUACCAAGCUACUUCUGACGUUGAGGCACGAAAGCGCGGGUAUCGAACAGGAUUAGAUACCCGGGUAGUC
Molecule: ribosomal RNA, 440 nt
Filed under: uncultured bacterium
Lineage: Bacteria
Description: partial 16S ribosomal RNA
Rfam family: Bacterial small subunit ribosomal RNA
Source: RNAcentral